CUUCUAUCAUUGCCGACUACUCUUCCACCUUUCCAGUUGCUUAUCUUCUCCAGUUCAAUCUUCUCAAAACUCCACUUUCUCUGUACCUCCACUCACCAAUCUGUCCCUCUCCACUCAUUCCACAUACCAUCACUCCACCUCCACCCUUCUAUACGCCACUUGCUCCACCUCUCUACUGUAAUUUCUAGCUGUUCUCUUCCCUUUACCCCCAAUACUCCACAUAGACCACUUCCUCCACACUCCACUCCUCCACGUCCGCCUGCUCCACCUUGUUACAGUCACAUUUUUUCUUUAACAUGUACGUAAAGUUUCUAGCUGCAGUUUAUUUCACAAGUCUAGUUUCUUUCAAGUGCCGUCUACUCCACCUAGUCCACCUACUCCACUAUUUCUCUUCGUUUCCACUUUCAAUCUGCACCACUUCUCCACUCUACUUCUCAUCUUACUCCACUUCUCACUCCACUCUUGUUCCAUCAUAUUAUACUUACUCUCCACUUUCUCUAAUCAUACUCUUUCUCUCCACUUUCAAUCUACUCCACUUCUCCACUCUACAUUUUUUUUUCAAUCCACUCUUCCUCCAGCAUAUUUACAGCUUGCUCUCCACUUUCUCUAAUCAUUCUUUCUUUCCAGUUGCAAUCUGCACCGCUGUUCCACUUGUUCCGCCCUCCAAAUACUCCUUCCUACCUACGGGGGCUUCGUGGUGCAGUGGUUAGCACACUCGGCUCACAACCGAGAGCCCUGGUUCGAUUCCCGGGCGGAGUUGAAAAAAUGAGGGGCUUUUCCGAUACCCUACGCCCCUGUCCACCCAGCAGUGAAUGGGUACCAGGCCUUCUCAGGGACAACCAGGAGAAGACGAAGAUGAAAUUACAAAACCCAGAAGGCUGAAAGAGGAAGUCAGUCAGUCAGUCUACAGUCAUUACAAAACCCUGAAGACAAGACUGGAGGAGGAAGUCAGUCUAGUGUCAUCCCAAGAGGAGGCGGCCUGAGGUGCCAGCCAUCCACAGUCCACUCUUAUUCUCCCGUCCACUGAAGAAGGCACCAAGUAAGAGUUGCAAGGCAGAAGUGUGAGCUACAGAAAAAAGUGGCAAGAUGCAGUGUGGAGGGCCAGUUUCUCAAGAUGAGCCGGAGCAAGGCUGCCUCAAGCUGCUGUCCAAUCAGCGAAGAGAUCACCUCGGCAGCCCGGCAGGCCACAAUGGCAAUGUUCAGACUACAACAGCGUUCAGGGAAAACAAAACUACACACAUUUCGCGGCAGCCAUGGAGUCAUUAUUGAAACUGAAUUAUUAGCAUUAGAGUUUUACUAUGGAGAUAUACAUAUAUUACCACUGUAGUGAAAGACAGAGUAUGGAAGGAAAAUCACCAAAAUUUGUAGAAGUUUAGUAAAAUAAAUGUUUGCAAUAUACAAAAAAUCUACAAAAGGUGAAAAUGACAUCCUGAAACUAAGGUGAAGAUAUGAAAGCAAAAUACCUUGCCUGAAAAGGUGUGUAAAAACCUGCCUGGGUACACAAGUGCCUGAAAAGGUGUGUAAAAACCUGCCUGGGUACACAAGUGCCUGAAAAGGUGUGUAAAAACCUGCCUGGGUACACAAGUGCCUGAAAAGGUGUGUAAAAACCUGCCUGGGUACACGAGUGCAGAGUAACAGCCACACCCUGCAACACUCAGGAUGCAAGUAACUGCUGCACCAAUAAAUGCUCCCGACAACACUACGU
Molecule: long non-coding RNA, 1705 nt
Organism: Eriocheir sinensis (Chinese mitten crab)
Lineage: Eukaryota; Metazoa; Arthropoda; Malacostraca; Decapoda; Varunidae
Exons: 4
Source: RefSeq, a predicted model, not a curated record